UUCAUCAUGACUUGCAUCCUAAACUUUAGAGAUUCUUUUUCUCAAACUUGAAGAAGACCUUCAGUAAUAAGAGGAAGAGAUUUGGUAGAGAAUAGGCUGAGGAAAAUAGGUUUGGAAGAGGUUGGAAGGUAGAAGAGGGUUGCUGAAAUUUUUAGACUGCAGUCUGCAAGGAUAGAAAGAGAGAAAGAUUUAGAGGACUUUUUAGAGUCUUUUGGAUGUAAAAUUUUUAUGCUUUAUAGAGGACUGAUGGAGAUUUGGGAUGCCAG
This 266-nucleotide long non-coding RNA is filed under the name Elaeis guineensis (African oil palm). Its description in RNAcentral is "long non-coding RNA (EGUI_LNC030628)". The record is from RNAcentral. Lineage: Eukaryota; Viridiplantae; Streptophyta; Magnoliopsida; Arecales; Arecaceae.